Molecule: unclassified non-coding RNA, 379 nt
Filed under: uncultured Pseudomonadota bacterium
Lineage: Bacteria; Pseudomonadati; Pseudomonadota
Description: uncultured proteobacterium contains 16S-23S intergenic spacer region
Source: RNAcentral
UCCGGUUUGUCACCGGCAGUCUCCCUAGAGUUCCCGGCCGAACCGCUGGCAACUAGGGACAAGGGUUGCGCUCGUUACGGGACUUAACCCAACAUCUCACGACACGAGCUGACGACAGCCAUGCAGCACCUGUGCGGGGUCCAGCCGAACUGAAGGAUCUCAUCUCUGAGAUCCGCGACCCCCAUGUCAAGGGCUGGUAAGGUUCUUCGCGUUGCGUCGAAUUAAGCCACAUGCUCCGCCGCUUGUGCGGACCCCCGUCAAUUCCUUUGAGUUUUAAUCUUGCGACCGUACUCCCCAGGCGGCGCGCUUAACGCGUUAGCUGCGACACCGAUGGCUGAACCACCAACGUCUAGCGCGCAUCGUUUACGGCGUGGACUAC